UGUCCUCUGUGCCCUCAGAGCCUAGAGGGAAAACAUCGGUUACCUAAGUCACCUAAGUCCUAGGGUAAAAAUUCUACUGGCCGCACAAAACACAAGUGCUGUAAACACGUCCUUCCAGGCGCUUUUUCAGAUGCUAGAAAACUCACUGCCCAUUCCCUCUACUGGAAAGGACAGGAGCAGAUGCUUUUGAUUAAUAUGGAAAUAAAAAGAAGCAAUGGUGGCAGUACUUGGUUUCGUGGCAGUUGUUUAGAGAUUUAUUGACACAGAGAUAAAUUUCAGUCUGGGGCAUCUCUGUAUUUCAUGUCCCUAUUAGUUAUUAGCAAAUGAGCAAAUCGUUUUUCUUUUAACUGUUUUUUUAAAGAAAAAAAAUAAAAGAAGAGGAGUUGGGGGAGAUAUUUUUUUAAUGGGAUUACUGUCAUUAUCCUCCUUGUCUCUGUAGUUCCCCCAGCUACAGAAAUUUGCCUCUGGACUCCAGAGUACACCAGGCUGUGGUUCUGAACAUAAAACAAUCCUGUAAUUUCCUUCAAGAACAAAAGUUUUCAAAGAAAUGACCUGCACAGUAUCCCCUUCAAUAAAGCAGAAGUGACUUAAUGGUCUGUUAAUUACUCCAUCCCUGCAGGGGGAGGGAAGCUUCCGAAUGGAUCGCUACAAACCCUCUGUUGACUGAAGCUGUGGUCUGUCCCCAAAUGUACAGCUGGGGCCGGGCCAUUGAAAACCCAGACAAAACAAAAUCCCUGAUAAAUAAUCCCACCUAGAACACAAAGAUUCAGCACUCAAUUGUUGGAUCUGCGCUGGAUCCUCAGAGAAGACCGGAGGGAGCUCCUUUGGGGCUUCCGGUAAUCUUUAAAGCUUGAGGCCAGGGGUUCUUGGACAAAAGUUAAAAAAAGAGCUUGUUUGACUUCUCUGUCCCCUUAUCCUUCUGUGUUGAAUUUCUUUCUCUUUAAUUUGGGGCUUUGACUAUAUUUUAUUUAUCC
This 974-nucleotide long non-coding RNA is filed under the name Homo sapiens (human). Its description in RNAcentral is "HSALNT0113857". Lineage: Eukaryota; Metazoa; Chordata; Mammalia; Primates; Hominidae. The record is from RNAcentral.